This is a long non-coding RNA of Leopardus geoffroyi (Geoffroy's cat), 1621 nucleotides long. RefSeq lists it as uncharacterized. The record is from RefSeq and is a predicted model, not a curated record. The transcript is spliced from 3 exons. Lineage: Eukaryota; Metazoa; Chordata; Mammalia; Carnivora; Felidae.
UGUAAAUGAUGACUCACUAAAUUCUAUUCCUGAAAAAAAGAAAGAAAAAAAUAAAGAAUUUCCUUCACAGGGGGAAAACAACAACACAUAGAUGGAACUAGGUGAUAUAAGGCAGCGAAAGACAAAUGCCCUAUGUUUUCACGCGUACGUAGAAUUUAGGAAACAAAACAAAUGAGCAAAGGAAAAAGAGAGAGAGAGAGAGAGACCAACCAAGAAACAGACUCUCCGCUGUAAAAAACAGAAGGAUGGUGAGCAGAGAGGAGGUGGCUGGGGGAAUGAGUGAACCAGGUGAUGGAGAUUCAGGGGUGCACUUGUCCUGCUGAGCCCUGGGUGAUGUAUGGAGUGUUGAAUCACUGCAUCGGACACCGGAAAGGAAUCAACAUUGUACGUUGCCUCUACAGGAACUAAAUGAAAUGAAGAAUAUGAAAUAAAAUGCAAAAAAUGAAUUAAAAUAUUACCAAAUACAAGAGAAUAGAAAAAUAACGUUUAAAAACUAAGAUGAAACAUGAAAAACUAAAAAUAGAAGAUCCUAUAAUAAGCUCCCUAGAUCUUUCCACCAUAUGAGAUUCCAAGGAAAGUCUGUGACCCAGAAGAGGGCCCUCACCCAACCAUGCCAGCACCCUGAUCUUGGACUUCUGGCCUCCAGACAUGUGAGCAAUACAUUUCCGUUGUUGUAUAAGUCACCAAGUGUAUAAUACUUGUUACAGAGGACUGGGUAGACGAAUCCCUAAACCAGAAGACAAUUGAUAGUAUGGCAUUGUAUGGGGUACACCAGAGUUCCACGUGGCUCCCCUUCAUGGCUAUGAUCUUUUCCCAACUUUUUGUUCUUGUAACAAAUAGCGCUGACAUCAAUAUUCUUAUCACCCAUGCGUGUGCCCAAAUGCUCCCCACGCCCCCUUGUUGCCAAGGGACUUUCCCUGUGGUAUAUGCAAAGGUCGAUUUUGGUUACUCAUUACGCGGGCAAGUUGAUGAAUCAUUUCUUUGAUGGAUUCUGGACUUUGCUUUAUGCUUUCGGGAGACCUCCACUCCAGCAUCAUAGAAUGAGAGGCGUCCCUCCACGCUUUCUACCAGUACUUUCAUGGUUUCAGUUUUUCGGUCCCGGCCCACCCUACCGCCGCAGAUGUCCUGUCCAUGUAGGACGCCGAGAAGCACCGCUGUCGCUCUGAGAAAGAAGGGGUUGUGGGGCUGCCCAGACGGGUCGACCAGCACACGCCGCUCGCCGCCUGCCGGCUGGCGGGAAGCGACCGCGACCGCGGCGGCCCACCGUGCAGGUGCUGCAUACAAUCAAGAAGCCAAACCCACAAGCUUGAAACAGGCUCUGGGGCUCAACUUACAACUGGCCUGCUGGGACAAAGACUACACCAGACCAGUCAGAGCGACAGUGGACCCCAGCACCUAUCUUUCCCUGCCUUUUCCCCUCAUAAGGCUAAAAAUCACACCCAGGGGCAGAGAGUUAUCAUGCAAAUAAAACAUACCACGUAUGAAAAAGCAUGUUCUGUCAACUGCACCUGCACACCCAACUUCCUAUAUUUCUCCACCCUUACAGGGUUAGAUGUCACUCCUUUCCUGCCUUCUACCCUUCGAAAACCUUCCCUGGGGGCACCUGGUGGCUCAGUAGGUU